GGGCCACAUCACGCUGAAAUACCGGUUACUGUAUGAUCACCGAAGUUAAGCAACCUUGAGCCUGGUCUCUACCUAGAUGGGUGACCGCUUGGGAAUACCAGGUGCU
Molecule: non-coding RNA, 106 nt
Organism: Acanthosepion pharaonis
Lineage: Eukaryota; Metazoa; Mollusca; Cephalopoda; Sepiida; Sepiidae
Source: the annotation of a GenBank genome assembly